CCUACGGGGGGCAGCAGUGGGGAAUAUUGGACAAUGGGCGCAAGCCUGAUCCAGCCAUGCCGCGUGGGUGAAGAAGGCCUUCGGGUUGUAAAGCCCUUUUGUCCGGAAAGAAAAGCUUCGGGCUAAUACCCCGGGGUCAUGACGGUACCGGAAGAAUAAGCACCGGCUAACUUCGUGCCAGCAGCCGCGGUAAUACGAAGGGUGCAAGCGUUACUCGGAAUUACUGGGCGUAAAGCGUGCGUAGGUGGUUCGUUAAGUCUGAUGUGAAAGCCCUGGGCUCAACCUGGGAAUUGCAUUGGAUACUGGCGAGCUAGAGUGCGGUAGAGGAUAGUGGAAUUCCCGGUGUAGCAGUGAAAUGCGUAGAGAUCGGGAGGAACAUCUGUGGCGAAGGCGACUAUCUGGGCCAGCACUGACACUGAGGCACGAAAGCGUGGGGAGCAAACAGGAUUAGAUACCCCAGUAGUC
This 465-nucleotide ribosomal RNA is filed under the name uncultured bacterium. RNAcentral's name for it is "bacterial SSU rRNA". It matches the Rfam family "Bacterial small subunit ribosomal RNA", at positions 338 to 795 of the family's 1533-position model. The record is from RNAcentral.